This 74-nucleotide transfer RNA is filed under the name Podarcis lilfordi (Lilford's wall lizard). Its description in RNAcentral is "tRNA.Lys". It matches the Rfam family "tRNA". Rfam says of the family: Transfer RNA (tRNA) molecules are approximately 80 nucleotides in length. The record is from RNAcentral. Lineage: Eukaryota; Metazoa; Chordata; Lepidosauria; Squamata; Lacertidae.
GCCAGGAAUAGCUCAGUUGGUGGAGCACGAGACUCUUAAUCUCAGGGCUGUGGGUUCAAGCCCCACCUUCGGCA